RNAcentral lists this long non-coding RNA (301 nucleotides) under Elaeis guineensis (African oil palm). Its description in RNAcentral is "long non-coding RNA (EGUI_LNC040197)". The record is from RNAcentral. Lineage: Eukaryota; Viridiplantae; Streptophyta; Magnoliopsida; Arecales; Arecaceae.
UUCCUCUAUUGUCAAUCGCCAAUAUUCUUCUUCAUUGGCUCUAUAAAACUGAGAGGCUUGUGAUCUGUAUAUAAAUAGAAAAAAUUGAGCUCAUCGUUAUCUUCUAUCUACUCAUAAAUUUUCUUGAGGCUUCUCAUUUUGAUGGGACCUUGAUGAUGGCCGAUCUAUUACUACUAUCCUUCCCAGAAGAUGAAAGAUCUCUUCCAGGAGAAGAUGUAGUUUGUUGAGGAGAUGUUUGAGAAGAUGUUGGUGAAGCUAGUGGUUGAAACUCCUAUGAAGAUUCAUCAGAUUAAUCAGUCAC